RNAcentral lists this ribosomal RNA (513 nucleotides) under uncultured bacterium. RNAcentral describes it as "partial 16S ribosomal RNA". It matches the Rfam family "Bacterial small subunit ribosomal RNA", at positions 28 to 523 of the family's 1533-position model. The record is from RNAcentral.
GACGAACGCUGGCGGCAUGCCUAAUACAUGCAAGUCGAGCGAACAGAUGAGGUGCUUGCACUUCUGACGUUAGCGGCGAACGGGUGAGUAACACGUAAGGAAUCUACCUAUAAGCGGGGGAUAACAUUCGGAAACGGGUGCCAAUACCGCAUAAUAUCUUCUUCCGCAUGGAAGCAGAUUGAAAGACGGCUCUGCUGUCACUUCUAGAUGACCUUGCGGUGCAUUAGUUAGUUGGUGGGGUAACGGCCUACCAAGACGAUGAUGCAUAGCCGACCUGAGAGGGUGAUCGGCCACAUUGGGACUGAGACACGGCCCAAACUCCUACGGGAGGCAGCAGUAGGGAAUCUUCCGCAAUGGGCGAAAGCCUGACGGAGCAAUGCCGCGUGAGUGAAGAAGGCCUUCGGGUCGUAAAACUCUGUUAUAAGAGAAGAACAAAUUGUAGAGUAACUGCUACAGUCUUGACGGUAUCUUAUCAGAAAGCCACGGCUAACUACGUGCCAGCCGCCGCGGUAA